RNAcentral lists this ribosomal RNA (839 nucleotides) under uncultured Clostridia bacterium. RNAcentral describes it as "bacterial SSU rRNA". It matches the Rfam family "Bacterial small subunit ribosomal RNA", at positions 49 to 903 of the family's 1533-position model. The record is from RNAcentral. Lineage: Bacteria; Bacillati; Bacillota; Clostridia.
UAACACAUGCAAGUCGAGCGCGAAAGCCACCUUCGGGUGGUGAGUAGAGCGGCGGACGGGUGAGUAACGCGUGAACAACCUACCCCCAAGACCGGGAUAACACCGGGAAACUGGUGCUAAUACCGGAUAAACUUGCAUACCGCAUGGUGUGCAAGCAAAGGGGUUUACCGCUUGGGGAUGGGUUCGCGUCCCAUUAGCUAGUUGGUGAGGUAACGGCUCACCAAGGCGACGAUGGGUAGCCGGCCUGAGAGGGUGUACGGCCACACUGGGACUGAGACACGGCCCAGACUCCUACGGGAGGCAGCAGUGGGGAAUAUUGGGCAAUGGGGGAAACCCUGACCCAGCGACGCCGCGUGGGUGAAGAAGGCCUUCGGGUUGUAAAGCCCUGUCACGGGGGACGAUAGUGACGGUACCCUGGGAGGAAGCCCCGGCUAACUACGUGCCAGCAGCCGCGGUAACACGUAGGGGGCGAGCGUUGUCCGGAAUUACUGGGCGUAAAGGGCGCGUAGGCGGUUAGCCGUGUCAGGUGUGAAAGGCUGGGGCUUAACCCCAGACCUGCACUUGAGACUGGCUAACUUGAGGGCAGGAGAGGCAGGUGGAAUUCCUGGUGUAGCGGUGAAAUGCGUAGAUAUCAGGAGGAACACCGGUGGCGAAGGCGACCUGCUGGACUGGCCCUGACGCUGAGGCGCGAAAGCGUGGGGAGCGAACAGGAUUAGAUACCCUGGUAGUCCACGCUGUAAACGAUGGGUACUAGGUGUAGGGGGUUAUGAUACCCUCUGUGCCGUAGCUAACGCGAUAARUACCCCGCCUGGGGAGUACGGCCGCAAGGUUGAAACUCA